ACGCUCGACACCUACGGGGGCAGCAGUGGGGAAUAUUGCACAAUGGGGGAAACCCUGAUGCAGCGACGCCGCGUGAGCGAAGAAGUAUCUCGGUAUGUAAAGCUCUAUCAGCAGGGAAGAAGAUGACGGUACCUGACUAAGAAGCACCGGCUAAAUACGUGCAGCAGCCGCGGUAAUCUGAGCGGGCUGGCAAGGC
This 196-nucleotide ribosomal RNA is filed under the name uncultured bacterium. Its description in RNAcentral is "partial 16S ribosomal RNA". It matches the Rfam family "Bacterial small subunit ribosomal RNA", at positions 328 to 539 of the family's 1533-position model. The record is from RNAcentral.